AUGUAUUGAGACAACGUACAGAAGAUGUGGAUGUAAAGUGAUACUUUAUAUAAUACCUAGAAAAGGCACAUUCAUUUGAAUACACAAGGAAAGUGCAUUUUGCACUAGAAGAACAGGCAUUAGAGGAGAUAUCUAAGCUCGGUGGCAAUCCUGUCUUAUCUGCUGUGUUUGAACGCCUCAGAGCUGUGUAUGCCCACCAAUAGAUUGCCGAGAUAACAUGUUAAGCAAACGUAAUUAUUUUGAUGUGAUGAUAUAAAAUUUAAAAUAAUAAUAACAAAAACAAAU
Corticium candelabrum is the source of this 285-nucleotide long non-coding RNA. RefSeq lists it as uncharacterized. The record is from RefSeq and is a predicted model, not a curated record. The transcript has 3 exons. NCBI's taxonomy places the organism in Eukaryota, Metazoa, Porifera, Homoscleromorpha, Homosclerophorida, Plakinidae.